Molecule: transfer RNA, 72 nt
Filed under: Sus scrofa (pig)
Lineage: Eukaryota; Metazoa; Chordata; Mammalia; Artiodactyla; Suidae
Rfam family: tRNA
About the family: Transfer RNA (tRNA) molecules are approximately 80 nucleotides in length.
Source: Rfam by way of RNAcentral
UCACUGGUGGUCUGGUGGUUAGGACUUGGCACUGUCACCGCUGUGGCCCAGGUUCAGUUCCUGGUCUGGGAA